ACGUCAAGUCCUCAUGGCCCUUAUAGGUGGGGCUACACACGUCAUACAAUGGCUGGUACAGAGGGUUGCCAACCCGCGAGGGGGAGCUAAUCCCAUAAAGCCAGUCGUAGUCCGGAUCGCAGUCUGCAACUCGACUGCGUGAAGUCGGAAUCGCUAGUAAUCGCGAAUCAGAAUGUCGCGGUGAAUACGUUCCCGGGUCUCGUACACACCGCCCGUCA
Molecule: ribosomal RNA, 218 nt
Filed under: Chaetoceros curvisetus
Lineage: Eukaryota; Bacillariophyta; Thalassiosirophyceae; Chaetocerotales; Chaetocerotaceae
Description: partial Bacterial small subunit ribosomal RNA
Rfam family: Bacterial small subunit ribosomal RNA
Source: RNAcentral